UACAGAGGGUGCGAGCGUUAAUCGGAAUUACUGGGCGUAAAGCGCGCGUAGGCGGCUUUGCAAGUCGGGUGUGAAAUCCCCAGGCUUAACCUGGGAACUGCAUUCGAGACUGCAUUGCUAGAGUAUGGGAGAGGGAAGUGGAAUUUCCGGUGUAGCGGUGAAAUGCGUAGAUAUCGGAAGGAACAUCAGUGGCGAAAGCGGCUCACUGGCCCGGUACUGACGCUGAGGUGCGAAAGCGUGGGGAGCAAACAGG
RNAcentral lists this ribosomal RNA (253 nucleotides) under uncultured bacterium. RNAcentral describes it as "partial 16S ribosomal RNA". It matches the Rfam family "Bacterial small subunit ribosomal RNA", at positions 524 to 776 of the family's 1533-position model. The record is from RNAcentral.